Molecule: long non-coding RNA, 3190 nt
Organism: Nyctereutes procyonoides (raccoon dog)
Lineage: Eukaryota; Metazoa; Chordata; Mammalia; Carnivora; Canidae
Exons: 3
Source: RefSeq, a predicted model, not a curated record
CGGGCCCUGGUGGGCGGAACGGAGGGGUGCAGCGGCCCGGGCCGGGUCGGCGGUCUUCCUCCCCCCGCCCCGGCCCUCUCCGCCCGCCUGGGGGCCUUCCCGCCAAAGCCUCUCACCUGUGCCUGCCCAGCGCCCGCAGCUGCGGCGGCGGCGGAGAACCGCCUGAGGCGGCGCGUUGCUCGCGGGCUCCUGUCUUCGGAUCCACUGAGAUCCUGCUUCUGUACAAGUCCCUCCGCACGUUGAUGUCUGAGGAAUCGUUCUGACAGCAGCACGGUCGCUCACGGACGUCCUCACGGAAUGGCAGCGUUUGAAGACACACACAUCUCCCGAGCCAGGGACGUCAGAGCCUCAGCUCCUCCUAAAAUGUGAUAGAUCAAACCCCAAGGAAUGAAGGCCAUCGCCAGGGGCGUGCAGGUGACGGUGGAGCUAGGAUUGCAGAUCACCACACACCAGUCUUCCACGCAGUGGCCCAAGGAAGCAGGAACACAGUGAUUCUCAUAUUUUGAAAUAGACUACACAUGCCUUCAGAUCUUGCUUCCUAAAUGCCAAGCUCUGCUGAAAGGAACCAGACUUGAGAAAUGGAUGAUUUGAGGGCAGAAAGAGGGAAAGUAUGAAAUAUCCACGAAGCUCUUGUGCCAGAAGACAAGAUUUUCAGAGUAAUGGAGCACAUGUCAAAAGGAAACGAGAGCCAGCUUAAAAGCUACCCCCCCCCCCCCACUUACCAAAACCGGGACAAUUUGAGCAUCACCAGUGAGUAAGGAUCAAAAUGGGUUUAUAACACAAUGAAUUUCCAAAAAGAAUACACAAGGGCAUAUUCAUUCUUAAAACGUUAAAUAUAAAGGCAGGAGGGGAGAAAUAAUUCUUGACAACUAUUACACUGGAGGAAAUGAUGAAAUUAGGAAGUCACCAUUUUGCAACCAUUGUGGUAAUAAUUGAUUCUGAUAUGGAAUAGUCAAUAGAUUUUAAAAUCCUAAAAUAGUUAUUAAAAUCACUGGGACAAGAUAUUUACAUACUCCCAAAGUAUCCUCAGAUUUCUUAUUCAUGACAAAGUAGUAACAGUUGAGAAAUCGGACAGGCACCACCCUAACCAAAUAAUCAUGUAGCCAGUUAUGGGAAAAAAUAACAUGAUGUGCCCUUAUGAUGUGAGAUACUGAGAAGGAUACAAGAUCCCGUAUAUAUUCUGAAUCCAUAUUCUGAAUCUAAUCACAAUCAGAAAGAUUCAGAUUGAGAAAUGUUCUACUCAUCCACUGGCCUAUACUCUUAAAAGAAAGGUCAUUGUCAUGAAUGACAAAGAAAAGGCUGAAAUCUCUUAUAGAUUUAAGGGAUUAAAGAGACUGUCACUAAAGGCAACAUGUAAUCCCGAAUUCGGAGAAAAGUGCUAUGAAGGAAUGUUUUCAGGACAAUUGUUGAAAUUUUAAUAUAGGUUCUAUAUUAGAUAAUAGUUUUAUUUAAGUGUUAAGCUUCUUGAAUUUUGUAAUUAUUAUGAAAAAGUGUACCCUUAUUAAGAGACACACUGAAAUAUUUAGGGAUAAAAGCUUUUGAUAUAGGUAACUUACUCUCAAAUGGUUUAGCAAAGAUAGAUAAUGUGGCAAAAUGUUACACUGGUAAAUCUAGAUAGAGUAUAUGGUAGAUAUUGCAUUGAUCUUGCAACCUCUGUUUUAAUUUUUUAAAUGAAAAUGUAUGUGUAUAUGUAUUCAUUAAUUUAAUAUUCUUUGUGUAAAAUCAGCUGGUUCUUGGGCUGCCCACCUGCUCACUGUGCUUGUCUUGCACUCUCCCCAAGCAAUAUCUUAUUCUGCUGUGAAUUACAUUGUUUGCAAAAGUGAAGAGGGUGAGAUUUCUGGAUUGAGGAGAGUAGGAUGAGGGUUUGUCAAACUAGACCAGGAGCCCACAUAUAUAUACCUGAACACAAAGAGUUUUCAUAUACAUUUUGCCAGUUAGAUGAAUGUGUUUAAGUGCUCUGAGAGUGGAAAUUUGGGAAUUUGAUGAAAAGCUACUUACUCAAGAACCAGAAAAUGCUGUUGGAGAGGAUGUGGAGAAAGGGGAACCCUGUUGCACUUUUGGUGGGAAUGUCAACUGAUACAGCCACUCUGGAAAACUGUGUGGAGGUUUCUCAAAGAGUUAAAAAUAGGGCUACCCUACGACCCAGCAAUUGCACUACUGGGUAUUUACCCCAAAGAUACAGAUGCAGUGAAAUGGCAGGACCUGCACCCCAAAUGUUUAUAGCAGCAAUGUCCACAAUAGCCAAACUGUGGAAGGAGCCUCGGUGUCCAUCGAAAGAUGAAUGGAUAAAGAAGAUGUGUUCUAUAUAUACAAUGGAAUAUUACUCAGGCAUUAGAAACAACAAAUACUCACCAUUUGCUUCAAUGUGGAUGGAACUGGAGGGUAUUAUGCUGAGUGAGCCAGACUGCUGCUCUUCAACCCCUUCAAAGAAAUUCUGAAGCUGAAACUGGUAGGAAGCUGCUGGAGCAAUGGAUUCCAACUGUGGCAGUGAUGAAAUAUAAGGGAUGAGGAAGACAGAGAUAUUGAAGAUUGCUACCAGGCUUUUGACAGGAGUAACAGGUGCAACCAAUUACUGAGAGCUUACCAUGUACCAUUUACUCUGCUGGACACUAAACAUACAAAAGUGGAUGAAAAUCUGAACCCAGUCCUCAACAUACAAUUUAUUUCAUUCAGACACUUAGUCCUUAUUUCUCUAAUAUAUAUGAAGAUAUUGUGAAGACAAAUAAUUUGCCAAUAUCAACAUAUAUUAUGACUGGGUGCUGGCACAGAGUGAGUUGUGCUAGGAGCUAUGUGUUCUCAUUGCUGUUUAUAAGCUCUGAAUACAUAAUUUUGGAGCUCAGUGGAGAGAACUAGGUAGAAAAUUUAGAGAUUGAUUAUACUGUUAGGUGAAGUCAAGGAUGCAGAGGGUAUCAUGCAAUGGGAAUACCAAGCAUUGAGGAGAAGACAUUGCAGCCACCUGUUACUCACAGCUCAGGGGAUACACCCACAGAUUCAUGAGGGGCCUGGUUUUGAGUUUUCACCAUUAUGAGUCAUCUCUUAAGGGAAUAAACAUUACAAGUAAGUAAAGAGUCAUUCUUUUCUCAUCUGAAGUCUUAGAAAAUAUGUUAUAUUGUAAAAAAUGGAACCUUAUUAGCUAAUUUACCAGUAGACUUGUUAUUUCUGGUUUUGUAGGUGUAUUUUGGGAGCCACA